GAUGAACGCUGGCGGCGUGCCUAAUACAUGCAAGUCGAGCGAACAGACGAGGAGCUUGCUCCUCUGACGUUAGCGGCGGACGGGUGAGUAACACGUGUAUAACCUACCUAUAAGACUGGGAUAACUUCGGGAAACCGGAGCUAAUACCGUAUAAUAUAUUGAACCGCAUGGUUCAAUAGUGAAAUACGGUUUUGCUGUCACUUAUAGAUGGAUCCGCGCCGCAUUAGCUAGUUGGUAAGGUAACGGCUUACCAAGGCAACGAUGCGUAGCCGACCUGAGAGGGUGAUCGGCCACACUGGAACUGAGACACGGUCCAGACUCCUACGGGAGGCAGCAGUAGGGAAUCUUCCGCAAUGGGCGAAAGCCUGACGGAGCAACGCCGCGUGAGUGAUGAAGGUCUUCGGAUCGUAAAACUCUGUUAUUAGGGAAGAACAAAUGUGUAAGUAACUAUGCACGUCUUGACGGUACCUAAUCAGAAAGCCACGGCUAACUACGUG
RNAcentral lists this ribosomal RNA (497 nucleotides) under uncultured bacterium. Its description in RNAcentral is "partial 16S ribosomal RNA". It matches the Rfam family "Bacterial small subunit ribosomal RNA", at positions 28 to 507 of the family's 1533-position model. The record is from RNAcentral.